Molecule: long non-coding RNA, 2056 nt
Organism: Hyaena hyaena (striped hyena)
Lineage: Eukaryota; Metazoa; Chordata; Mammalia; Carnivora; Hyaenidae
Exons: 2
Source: RefSeq, a predicted model, not a curated record
GUCAGACGCUUAACCGACUAGGCCACCCAGGCGCCCCUGGGCUGUGCUUUAAAGAAUGAUUAUAGUUUUCUCAGGUAGGGAAGGGCAACAAACAUUAUCGACAGACUUAGGGACCAGAGUAAGCAAAGUAUAUUAUGGGGGCAGGACAUUUAUGUCAGAAUCUUGUCAUUUCCCCUGAAUAUCCAUUCUCUUCCUAAGAACCCUGAUGAUUUUUACAUAGGCACAUGGUAGCCUGGAAUAAAUUUUCCUGCCUUCCUUGCGGCAGACAAGGUCUGUGUCCCUUGUGACACAAGCAGAGGUGGUAGGUGUCGAUUCCUUAAGAACCUCUUUAACGUAUAGCCAGUAUCCAUCCUGUACCUGUUUCUUCCCCCUCCCCCUCCCUCCUGGCUGGCACACAGACCCCAUUCCUAGAAUUUGCACAGCCAUCUUCGAUCAUGUUAAGAAUGGGUCAGUGACAGGAUCCCAGAAGCCUGGGUUCCUGGCACCCAGAAGCCCCACUGUCAGGAUUUGUUUUACAUGAGAAACAAGCUUCCGUGUUAUUUAAGUUUCUAGAACUUGGCCUGUCUCUGAAGCUAACCAUAACUGAUAUAUAUUCUAUGAUUUAAUUUAUGUUGAAAUCAAUCACGCUGAGGCUGAAAAGCUGAAUGGCGGCAGUGUGUGAUUCCCCACUAAGGAAUUUGAACUUUAUCCUGUUGGCAGUGGGGAACAAAAGACUUCUGAGCCAGAAGAUGAGAACUGUGCUUUGGCAAAGCGAUUCCUCUGGCAGUGGUUCGGUGGACAGUUGGGAGAAGGGAGGCACUAAAAGAAGAGGUGAAAUCAGAAAUUCCUAGGCUUCUGAAUUUCAGACAAGCAAAAUCCCCAGAAAUUUCAAAGGCCAGCAUGGGGAUUACCAACAUCUAAGAGGCCAGCGGAGAAAGGAGACUGUGACAGAACCAUGGCAAAAGAGGGUCUGACUUUAACUGGAUCAUCUCUUCUGUAUUUUACAAGCACAGGAGGCUGUUUUUCAUUUUCACGCAGGAUAAUCUCUCUGUGGAGUUGGGACAGCUCUGCUGGCCCACGAAAUAAACAAAAUCCUUUCUAAGCAGCUGGAGGAGGAACCUUCGGCUCCAGGAGACUGAAAGAAGACAAACAGGCAUUGCCUCCAAAACAAAAGCUUGGGCACACCUGACGCCCCGAGGCUUCAGGACUCCAGAGCUCCCUGUUUGUCAUCUUCUGGGAACACCACCUACAGCCACUUAUAUUAUGUUGGCGAUGGCUUUGUGUCUCGGGAGAUGAGAUAAAUAAGCGCACUUUCCUCAGAGAAAGACUUGGGGCCCAGAGGAAAAAGGGUCUUGCAUUCAUCGUGCGUGGCAGGCAUGCCUGUCCUUGCGCCAGAAACUCCUGGCUGCACCUGCCAGCCUCAGGCUUCUUGGUAGGCACCAUGCCCUGGGUAGGACACUGGGCCCGGCAGGAGCUGGACAUGGUAGAGAAGAGAGACGUAGGCCUGGCACAGCAUCUGCCUGCAUUUGCCGGGGAACACAGCAGAGCUGACCCGAAGAAGAGGAAGAUGCCAAGCGAGGUGAAGUGACUUGCUCAAGGUCACACAGCAGGCAGCAGAUCGGACACCAGAAGCCAGGUCCCCUGAUCCUGUCUGGUCACUACACCAGUCCUGAUUUUUUUUAUUUUUUGGCUCCACAAGUGGCCUUAUGCUCCCUUUUUCUCUCUGGACUCCUUGAUUUUGUUCAGUGAUCAUUAACAUGUCAAUCAGAAGAGAGUUCAGAUUUCCCUGUGUCUGUAGCUCAUGGAGAGGCAGGAAAACAGGAGAAUUAAGAGGCCAUUAAAGUAGUUCAGUAAGAGAUCAUUCAUUUGUUCACUUAGUAAAUAUUUUGAACACCCUUCAUGUGAAGAGCACUGUCACGGGUGCUAGGGAUACAGUAGGAGAGAGAGAAAAAAGUUGGCCCUGGAUACCAGGGAGCUUACGCUCUAGUGGAGGCGGAAGAACGUGAACAAGUGAAUAAACAAGGCAAUUUCAGAGUAUGAUCGGUGCUGUGAAAAAAUAAAGUAAAAUACGGUGGUA